AGUGAACGCUGGCGGUAGGCCUAACACAUGCAAGUCGAACGGCAGCACAGUAAGAGCUUGCUCUUACGGGUGGCGAGUGGCGGACGGGUGAGGAAUACAUCGGAAUCUACUUUUUCGUGGGGGAUAACGUAGGGAAACUUACGCUAAUACCGCAUACGACCUACGGGUGAAAGCAGGGGAUCUUCGGACCUUGCGCGAUUGAAUGAGCCGAUGUCGGAUUAGCUAGUUGGCGGGGUAAAGGCCCACCAAGGCGACGAUCCGUAGCUGGUCUGAGAGGAUGAUCAGCCACACUGGAACUGAGACACGGUCCAGACUCCUACGGGAGGAAGCAGUGGGGAAUAUUGGACAAUGGGCGCAAGCCUGAUCCAGCCAUACCGCGUGGGGGAAGAAGGACUUCGGGUUGGAAAGCCCUGUUGUUGGGAAAGAAAAGCAGCAGGUUAAUACCCCGCUGUUCUGACGGUACCCAAAGAAUAAGCACCGGCUAACUUCGUG
This 492-nucleotide ribosomal RNA is filed under the name uncultured bacterium. Its description in RNAcentral is "partial 16S ribosomal RNA". It matches the Rfam family "Bacterial small subunit ribosomal RNA", at positions 29 to 507 of the family's 1533-position model. The record is from RNAcentral.